This 465-nucleotide ribosomal RNA is filed under the name uncultured bacterium. RNAcentral's name for it is "partial 16S ribosomal RNA". It matches the Rfam family "Bacterial small subunit ribosomal RNA", at positions 338 to 795 of the family's 1533-position model. The record is from RNAcentral.
CCUACGGGUGGCAGCAGUGGGGAAUUUUGCGCAAUGCUCGCAAGAGUGACGCAGCGACGCCGCGUGAAUGACGAAGGCCUUCGGGUCGUAAAGCUCUUUCGACAGGGAAGAAAAUGCCUAUAAGUAACUGUGUAUGUAUUGACGGUACCUGUAUAAGCAGCCUCGGCCAACUCCGUGCAAGCAGCCGCGGUAAUACGGAGGGGGCGAGCGUUGUUCGGAGUGACUGGGCGUAAAGGGCACGUAGGCGGUGUUGUAAGUCAUUAGUCAAAGACUAGAGCUCAACUUUAGUAAGGCUAGUGAUACUAGAAGACUAGAGUAUCAGAGAGGAAUGCAGAAUUCGUGGUGGAGCGGUGAAAUGCGUAGAUAUCAGGAGGAAUACCGUUAGCGAAGGCAGCAAUCUGGCUGGAAACUGACGCUGAGGUGCGAAAGCGUGGGUAGCAAACAGGAUUAGAUACCCGGGUAGUC